RNAcentral lists this ribosomal RNA (498 nucleotides) under uncultured bacterium. RNAcentral describes it as "partial 16S ribosomal RNA". It matches the Rfam family "Bacterial small subunit ribosomal RNA", at positions 28 to 523 of the family's 1533-position model. The record is from RNAcentral.
GAUGAACGCUAGCUACAGGCUUAACACAUGCAAGUCGAGGGGUAGCAGGGUAGCAAUACCGCUGACGACCGGCGCACGGGUGAGUAACACGUAUCCAACCUUCCCAUAACUCGGGGAUAGCCUUUCGAAAGAAAGAUUAAUACCCGAUAGUACUUUUUCAAGUCAUCUUGAGAAAGUUAAAGAUUCCUUGGUUAUGGCUGGGGAUGCAUUCCAUUAGAUAGUUGGUGAGGUAACGGCUCACCAAGUCUUCGAUGGAUAGGGGUUCUGAGAGGAAGGUCCCCCACAUUGGUACUGAGACACGGACCAAACUCCUACGGGAGGCAGCAGUGAGGAAUAUUGGUCAAUGGGCGAGAGCCUGAACCAGCCAAGUAGCGUGAAGGAUGAAGGUCCUAUGGAUUGUAAACUUCUUUUAGAGUAGAAUAAAGUGACCUACGUGUAGGUUUUUGUAUGUAUACUAUGAAUAAGGAUCGGCUAACUCCGUGCCAGCAGCCGCGGUAA